Molecule: ribosomal RNA, 484 nt
Filed under: uncultured bacterium
Lineage: Bacteria
Description: partial 16S ribosomal RNA
Rfam family: Bacterial small subunit ribosomal RNA
Source: RNAcentral
AUUGAACGCUGGCGGCAGGUCUAACACAUGCAAGUCGAGCGGAAGAAGGGAGCUUUCUCCUGGUUUCAGCGGCGGACGGGUGAGUAAUACCUAGGAAUCUCCCUCGUAGUGGGGGAUAACGUCCGCAAACGAGCGCUAAUACCACAUACGUCCUGAGCGAGAAAGUGGGGGAGCUUCGGACCUCACGCUCUCAGAUGAGCCUAGGUCGGAUUAGCUAGUUUGUGGGGUAGGGGCCUACCAAGGCGCCGAUCCGUAACUGGUCUGAGAGGAUGAUCAGUCACACGGGAAGCUGGACACGGUCAAGAGUACUACGGGAGGCGGCAGUGGGGAACAUUGGACAAUAGGCGAGAGCAUGGUCCAGCCAUGCCAAGUGUGUGAAGAAGGUGUUGGGAUUGUGAAGCACUUCAAGUUGGGGGGAAGGGCAGUAAGUUAAUACCUUGCUUUUUUGACGUUAACAGCUGAAGAAGCACCGGCUAACUUCGUG